GGACCGGUGGGUUGGUCGUGCCUCCGGUACGUACUGGUCUUACUGGUUCCUCCCUUCUGAAGAACCACGAUGCCAUUAAUUUGGUGUCGUGGGGAAUCAGGACUGUUACUUUGAAAAAUUAGAAGUGUUUAAAGCAGGCUAAAGCUUGAAUAGAUUAGCAUGGAAUAACGAAAUAGGACGUUUGAUCUUAUUUUGUUGGUUCUAAGAUCGACGUAAUGAUUAAUAGGGAUAGUUGGGC
RNAcentral lists this ribosomal RNA (238 nucleotides) under uncultured Glomeromycotina. RNAcentral describes it as "partial 18S ribosomal RNA". The stretch from base 40 to 238 matches the Rfam family "Eukaryotic small subunit ribosomal RNA", at positions 686 to 887 of the family's 1831-position model. Lineage: Eukaryota; Fungi; Glomeromycota. The record is from RNAcentral.